GACGAACGCUGGCGGUGUGCUUAACACAUGCAAGUCGAACGGUAAGGCCCUUUCGGGGGUACACGAGUGGCGAACGGGUGAGUAACACGUGAGUAACCUGCCCUCAUCUCUGGGAUAACAGUCGGAAACGGUUGCUAAUACUGGAUAUGAGCUUGCAAGGCAUCUUGUGGGUUGGAAAGAUUUUUUUGGUUGGGGAUGGACUCGCGGCCUAUCAGCUUGUUGGUGAGGUAGUGGCUCACCAAGGCUUCGACGGGUAGCCGGCCUGAGAGGGCGACCGACCACAUUGGGACUGAGAGACGGCCCAAACUCCUACGGGAGGCAGCAGGGGGGAAGAUUGCACAAGGGACGGAAGGCUGAUGCAGCAACGCCGCGUGCGGGAUGACGGCCUUCGGGUUGUAAACCGCUUUCAAUUGUGACGAAGCUUUUUGUGACGGUAGCAGUAGAAGAAGCACCGGCUAACUACGUG
Molecule: ribosomal RNA, 466 nt
Filed under: uncultured bacterium
Lineage: Bacteria
Description: partial 16S ribosomal RNA
Rfam family: Bacterial small subunit ribosomal RNA
Source: RNAcentral